GACGAACGCUGGCGGCGUGCUUAACACAUGCAAGUCGAACGGAAAGGCCCUGCUUGCCGGGUGCUCGAGUGGCGAACGGGUGAGUAACACGUGGGUGCUUUGCCCCUUACUUUGGGAUACGCCUGGGAAACUGGGUCUAUUACUGGAUAGGACCAUGCUGUAGGUGGUGUGGUGGAAAGAUUAGUUUCGGUAAGGGAUGAGCUCGCGGCCUAUCAGCUUGUUGGUGGGGUAAUGGCCUACAAAGGCGUCGCCGGGUGGCCGGCCUGAGAGGGUGGAAGGCAAGGUUGGGACUCAGACGCGGCCCAGACUCCGACAGUAGGCAGCAGUGGGGGAAAUUGCACAAUAGGCACGAGCCGUGUGCAACGACGCCGCGUGGGGGAUGACGGCCUUCUGGUUGUAAACACCUUUCAUCCAUGACGAAGCCGUUGUGGUGACGGUAGUGGAAGAAUAAGCACCGGCUAACUACGUG
This 469-nucleotide ribosomal RNA is filed under the name uncultured bacterium. Its description in RNAcentral is "partial 16S ribosomal RNA". It matches the Rfam family "Bacterial small subunit ribosomal RNA", at positions 28 to 507 of the family's 1533-position model. The record is from RNAcentral.